GCCCCUGUGGCCUAAUGGCUAAGGCGUGGGUCUUCUACCUAAUGGAAAACCCAAGAUUGCGGUAAGUGGAAACUAUGCCAAAAUUUCCAAAUAGUACUAACAUUAGAAAAAGGGUUCGAGUCCCGCCAGGGGUU
Metarhizium majus ARSEF 297 is the source of this 134-nucleotide transfer RNA. It matches the Rfam family "tRNA". Rfam says of the family: Transfer RNA (tRNA) molecules are approximately 80 nucleotides in length. Lineage: Eukaryota; Fungi; Ascomycota; Sordariomycetes; Hypocreales; Clavicipitaceae. The record is from Rfam.